Molecule: ribosomal RNA, 380 nt
Filed under: uncultured eukaryote
Lineage: Eukaryota
Description: partial 18S ribosomal RNA
Rfam family: Eukaryotic small subunit ribosomal RNA
Source: RNAcentral
CAAUAGCGUAUAUUAAAGUUGUUGCAGUUAAAAAGCUCGUAGUUGGAUUUGUGGCGUACGGUGGGUUCCGGGCACUUGUUGUCUGAGUAACUUGCUGUUGCCAUCCUUGGGUGGAACCUGUGUGGCAUUAGGUUGUCGUGCAGGGGAUGCCCAUCAUUUACUGUGAAAAAAUUAGAGUGUUCAAAGCAGGCUUAUGCCGUUGAAUAUAUUAGCAUGGAAUAAUGAGAUAGGACUUUUUUGCUAUUUUGUUGGUUUGCGCAAAGAGGUAAUGAUUAAUAGGGACAGUUGGGGGUAUUCGUAUUCCAUUGUCAGAGGUGAAAUUCUUGGAUUUUUGGAAGACGAACUACUGCGAAAGCAUUUACCAAGGAUGUUUUCAUUAG